GUUGAACGCUGGCGGCAUGCCUUACACAUGCAAGUCGAACGGCAGCACGGGGGCAACCCUGGUGGCGAGUGGCGAACGGGUGAGUAACACAUCGGAACGUGUCCUGUUGUGGGGGAUAACCAGUCGAAAGACUGGCUAAUACCGCAUGAGCUGGAGACAGGAAAGCGGGGGACCUGAAAGGGCCUCGUGCGAUUGGAGCGGCCGAUGUCCGAUUAGCUAGUUGGUGGGGAAAGGCCCACCAAGGCGACGAUCGGUAGCUGGUCUGAGAGGAUGAUCAGCCACACUGGGACUGAGACACGGCCCAGACUCCUACGGGAGCAGCAGUGGGGAAUUUGGACAAUGGGGGCAACCCUGAUCCAGCCAUGCCGCGUGAGUGAAGAAGGCCUGGUGUAA
RNAcentral lists this ribosomal RNA (393 nucleotides) under uncultured bacterium. RNAcentral describes it as "bacterial SSU rRNA". It matches the Rfam family "Bacterial small subunit ribosomal RNA", at positions 28 to 428 of the family's 1533-position model. The record is from RNAcentral.